Drosophila miranda is the source of this 410-nucleotide long non-coding RNA. RefSeq lists it as uncharacterized. NCBI's taxonomy places the organism in Eukaryota, Metazoa, Arthropoda, Insecta, Diptera, Drosophilidae. The transcript has 3 exons. The record is from RefSeq and is a predicted model, not a curated record.
CGUUCAUUCAGUUAGAGAGUGUUUUGCCGCCUUGUCUUGCCUGCCUGCAAUGAAUUUCCUGAAAAUUAUCUUCGUUAUUAUGUUGGUCGUAUCCGGUGCAAAUGCUAUGACUUAUUUCUUCACGAGGACAAGGUGGCUUUCAACUGGAUGGCAAAUGCAAUCAAGCCUAGUGUGUGGAUUACACUCCUGUAUUUAUUUUACUAAGGACCAACCAGCAAUUGCUGAUAUUUUGUACUGCCAACACCCAGCUCUUUUUGCAGAGUGUGAGACUUAUGGAGUAGACACAACAGUAGAUUGGCCCGAAUGCUGUUGGAAGUGUGUCGAUUUUAAAAAAUGUUAGCCCUGAAGUUUCGAUGAUCAGUUCAUGUUACAAUUAUGUAUGCAAACAUGCGAAAUAAAUAUUUUAUUAC